Molecule: long non-coding RNA, 737 nt
Filed under: Equus caballus (horse)
Lineage: Eukaryota; Metazoa; Chordata; Mammalia; Perissodactyla; Equidae
Description: lncRNA (ENSECAG00000049585.1)
Source: RNAcentral
CUCAGCUGUGGCCUGGAUGAAAAUGCCCUUUCACAUGUGUGUAACAAACUACGUAUAGUUUUCAUUUCACAGAGCAUGGGUUCAGAAUUCAUUAAUUCACUGUUCGUGCCAACCUUAUAGAACAUAACUGCAGCAAAUAACAAGAGUCAGCUGUACUUGUCUAGAAGAAUAGGAGAAUGAGUGAACUGGGGAAGUAUAAUACGAUUGUUGGGCAGUCAUAAGGCUUUCAUGGAUGCCUCAGGCUGCUCAACCAUAUGUAUGUGCCUGUGAAAUCUUUGCCCUGAAGAGAUCCGCCACAAUGAAUGGAGAAGACAUCCAAGCACCAGUGGGUAUUUUAUGUUGCCAGAGGUCUCUGAGGCAGAGAGAAUGAGCAUGCUUUCCUGUGCCUUUGUGCAGGGGAAAGCGGUAAGAGGAAAAGUAAACACGGGAACAGCAUUGUGUUCUGAGAUAGUCGCUGCCCCUCUGAUCUCAAGCCUUUUCCGUACAAAGCAGGCGCUAACCUAAUCUUUGUUUCUUCAAUCGUCCACCAAGGUUUUUUGAAUUUUUCCUUUUCUUCCUAUAGACACUCUCUCCUUAGGUUCCUAGGAAGCAGGCUGCUUGGUGGAAGAAAAGUGAGUCAUUUCCUCCUGUAGGGAGCAUUUCAAAUAAAUUAUUAUUUUUUUUAGUGCUGUCAUUUACUUCAUUAAACAUUGAUUUUGUCUAAGUUAAUAUUAGGAAAAAGAACUCUACUUGUUUUC